Molecule: ribosomal RNA, 332 nt
Filed under: uncultured eukaryote
Lineage: Eukaryota
Description: partial 18S ribosomal RNA
Rfam family: Eukaryotic small subunit ribosomal RNA
Source: RNAcentral
CCCUUAGAUGUCCGGGGCUGCACGCGCGCUACACUGUAGAAAGCAGCGUGCUUUAAAACCUUUCCUGAAAAGGAUGGGUAACCCCAGCAAAACUCUACGUGCUUGGGAUAGAGAUUUGCAAUUUUCUCUCUUGAACGAGGAAUUCCCAGUAAGUGCAAGUCAUCAGCUUGCGCUGAUUACGUCCCUGCCCUUUGUACACACCGCCCGUCGCUACUACCGAUUGAAUGGUUUAGUGAGAUCUCUGGAUUGACGCUGGCUAGGGGGCGACCCUUGGCCAGACUGUUGAGAAACUGCUCAAACUUGAUCAUUUAGAGGAAGUAAAAGUCGUAACA